GAAUAGGAAGCUAUAUAGCAGUUAAUUUCGACUUAACCAAAUGAAUAUAUAAAUAUUCUCUAUUUA
Molecule: transfer RNA, 66 nt
Filed under: Brachycentrus subnubilus
Lineage: Eukaryota; Metazoa; Arthropoda; Insecta; Trichoptera; Brachycentridae
Description: tRNA-Arg
Source: RNAcentral